Heterocephalus glaber (naked mole-rat) is the source of this 1349-nucleotide long non-coding RNA. NCBI's taxonomy places the organism in Eukaryota, Metazoa, Chordata, Mammalia, Rodentia, Bathyergidae. The record is from Ensembl.
GAGGGACUUUUUGCAUUUCAUGGUGUGACGAUUAAUUCCGAUUGCUGACUGGCUUAAGAGAUGAGUGAAGCACACUUCCGGUGUCUGUGGGGGGAUCCAGAGAUGACUGGCUUGUGGGACAGCGAAUUGAGAGGAGACCUGCCCUGACCCAGGAUGACCUCAUCCAAUAAGCCGGAGAGCAGGACAGAACGAAAAGGUGGAUGAAGGAGCAAGCUGGCUUGCAGGGGGACGCCGGAUUCUGUCUCAGUGGGUGCAUCUUUUGCUGCUGCCCGUGGACGUCAGACUCCAGCUUCUUCAGCCUUCAGAGCCACUCACACCAGGCCUCUCCAGGGGCUUCCUGUUUUCAGUCCCGGACUGGGGCUGCAUCCUGAUCCCUCUCGUCCUGGGGCUUCCAGCUUCUUGGACAGAGCGGCCGCUGGACCCUCAGGCUCUCCUGCCUGCAGGUGCUGCCAUGAGCUCUCCCAUCUCCGAUCCUUUCUAAGUUCAGAAACUGAGGCCUCACCGGUCGUGACUGGCCGGAUCUCUCCGACCUUCCUUCCGGGGAUGAAGUGCGAGUGUCCUGGAGGGAAGCUGCCCCACACCACGAAGAGCGCCCCUGCCUCCCUUCUCAGAAAGAAGACCGGAUGCAGAGGGCGGAAGUGACUCCCAGAGGUCAUUCCAGAGAUAUCACACUCACCGAGUUUACAGGCAAAAGAAGAAAAUCCCAAGAAAAGGGUGGCGGGGAGCAAAGCAAAGACAAAAUCCUUCUCCUGACUGCUUGAGCCCUGCCUAUUCCCUGAGGAUUAAACUCUGAACGCGUCCCUCACACGGAAAGGACCACAGCUUCCAGGCAAGGCAUUACACAGUCCUUGGCCUCAAUAAACUUUUCCCACUCAUAACUCUACCUGCUAUCCAGAGGACCCAGACUGACAUCCAAGGCAUUUGCUGGGUAAAUGAAAUAACCGAUUUCCAAGGCUCACCACUUUUAAAGAUGCUUAAAGACAAUUCACGGCAGACAUUAUAUUAUGUGUGAAUGUGAGUCUUGCUCUUCUACCUUCUACCACCGCACAAUGAGGCAGGAAGCUCUCCCCAGAUGCAGCUCCUUGACUUUGGACUUGCCAGACCCCAGAACUCUAAGGAUAAAUCUCUUUUGUAAAUGAAUUACUUAAUCUCAGGUAUUCUGUAUGGCAGCAAACAAAGGACUAAGACACCGUGUGAGACUUGAUUUUCUUCAUAUACUUCAACCAAAAUAACAUCUUGUAACAGACUGAAUGAGAAGCAGAGAGAUGUGAAAAUUCAGCUAUUUUUCUACUGAGCCUGACAUUAAAGAGGUUUUCAAAAUGUAAAAGCAGUGCUGCUGUUUUCACUGA